This 2229-nucleotide unclassified non-coding RNA is filed under the name Hevea brasiliensis (rubber tree). The record is from RNAcentral. Lineage: Eukaryota; Viridiplantae; Streptophyta; Magnoliopsida; Malpighiales; Euphorbiaceae.
GGCGGAAAAGGAAAUUCAAGCGGCAAGAAAUAGAUGCCAAACAAUCAUAGAUAGAAUACACAGGUUACCUGCUCGCACCAGCAUCACCAUUUCGUGCUCCCGCACUCUCCUCAAAUUGGCCCUGUCUGAGCUCCAUUUCCUCUCUCGAUCUCCUUCUCCUACUCUUUCCCUCAGUGUCAACGUGGGCCACCUGGAGGCCGUCGUUCACCUUCUCGAGCAGCCAUUUGUGACGGCGGUUUCGCGUGUUUGCAAGCCAAUUCCUGUGUCGUCUUCUUCUUCUUCUUCUUCGCCUGCGCCUGCGCAGACAUCGUCUUCUAUCGAAACGACAUCCCGUGCGUUAAUCAAGCUCAAUCACCCUGUGGUUAUCUUGAUUUCUUCCGAUGGGUUCCGGUUCGGGUACCAAUUCAAGACUCCAACGCCCAAUAUUCACCGUUUGAUCGCCAACGGGACUGAGGCCGUGACGGGUUUGAUUCCAGUAUUUCCUACUGUUACUUUCCCUAAUCAUUACUCAAUUGUUACUGGGCUUUACCCUGCUUAUCAUGGCAUUAUCAACAACCGUUUUGUCGAUCCAAUCACCGGUGAAGUCUUUACUAUGAGAAGCCACGAGCCCAAGUGGUGGCUUGGUGAGCCACUCUGGGAGACUGUGGCCAAUCAUGGGUUAAGGGCUGCUACCUAUUUUUGGCCUGGGGCUGAGGUGCAUAAAGGUUCUUGGAAUUGCCCUGAAGGGUUUUGUAUGUUUUAUAAGGAGUCAGUUCCAUUUGAGGAACGGGUCGAUAAGAUUUUGAGCUAUUUUGAUUUGCCUAGCGCUGAAAUUCCUGUGUUUAUGACAUUGUAUUUUCAUGAUCCUGAUCAUCAGGGCCACCUGGUGGGACCUGAUGAUCCAGAGAUAACUGAAGCUGUUUCUGGAAUUGAUAAGAUGAUUGGGAGGUUGAUUAAUGGGCUAGAAAAGAGAGGGGUUUUUGAGGAUGUUCAUAUUAUUAUGGUGGGCGAUCAUGGCAUGGUUGGUACAUGUGAUAAGAAGUUGAUAUUUCUGGAUGAUUUGGCCCAUUGGAUCAAAAUUCCAGCUGAAUGGGUACAGUACUAUACUCCAGUGCUCUCAAUUCGCCCCCCUCCAGGUGUGUCACCAUCGAGCGUUGUUGGGAAGAUAAACGAAGGACUGCAGUCGGGAAAAGUUCAGAACGGAAAGCAUUUGAAAGUGUAUCUUAAGGAGGAGCUGCCUAGUAGGCUUCAUUAUUCGGUAAGUGACAGAAUUCCACCGAUAAUAGGGCUGGUUGAAGAGGGUUUUGAGGUGGAACAGAAGAGAUCAAAACAUCAAGAAUGUGGAGGAGCACAUGGCUAUGACAAUGCAUUUUUCUCCAUGAGGACGAUCUUCAUUGGUCAUGGACCGCAUUUUGCAAGGGGACGAAAGGUGCCAUCUUUUGAGAAUAUUCAGAUAUACAACUUGGUUACUUCAAUUCUCAAUAUUAAGGGUGCUCCCAAUAAUGGGUCUCUAUCAUUCCCAGGAUCUGUUCUUUUGCCUACUCCUUGGUAAGUAUCUCCUAACCAGUUCGAUAGUUGUCUCAUCUUCUCAAAUGAAUUGCAGUUGGGCUGGGCAAUUUUAUUGUGACGCCACAUGAGCAUAUAUUUCUCAAGAACGAUGUUUAUAGAUGUGUAUGUUAUGGUAGUGCAGAAGAUAAUUGAAUUAGUAUUGAUCCUUGCAAUUGUUGAUCAUACCCAGCGAUGUUAUCGCUUAGUUCAAGCAUUUCAUCUGUUUUGAGCUGCAGAUAAACGAGUGGAACCUGGUAUGUAAAAUUAUUGAAUGUGUACUUUUGUAGCCUGCUACUUUGGGCUUUGUUUAGCCAGAUUUAACAGCAAUUAAAGGACCCCUUUCCCUUUUUAGGGAUUUUCAGCUUUGCUGUUUUUAUAAUACGGAUAUUGGAUGCAUAACUAGGACCAGGAUAUGCUUUAUUUUCAAAUGAACCUGAAUUUUGGUAAGUGGCUUGAUUCUUAGAAUUUGAAUGCUUCUUGUAAUAUCUAUUGCCAGCCAAAAGAAAAAUGGCAGAAAUGGAGAAACCCAAUUCUACCCAAGAUCAGUGAGCUUUCAUUUCUACGAAAUUAACUAUGCUAUUUCUUUGUAUUAUUAUGCUAAUGUUUGUGUGAGAAGUUAGUCUCUACACUUAGUUGUCAGUAAAUAGGUUUUUCGCUUUUAUGAUCAACUUCCUCGUUCUCACAUUAUAAGUUGAAAGGAAC